Choloepus didactylus (southern two-toed sloth) is the source of this 2873-nucleotide long non-coding RNA. RefSeq lists it as uncharacterized. NCBI's taxonomy places the organism in Eukaryota, Metazoa, Chordata, Mammalia, Pilosa, Megalonychidae. The transcript is spliced from 3 exons. The record is from RefSeq and is a predicted model, not a curated record.
CGCAGACAUCCCCACUCUUCCGGGGAGAAGUACACCGCCACGUCCGCGAGCCUCACGGCCCUCGGCCUCCCUCCCUCUUCUGUCAGGGCCGGCCUCCCCAGGUACAUCUCGGGGAGCGAACCCCGGGACAGAGUCUUGGGCUUCCCGGCUCCCGGAAGGUGGGCGACCGGAAGUAGUUCCGGGUGGGGCCGCUCUAGGACGUCAUAAAAAUGGCCUGUUGGGCGCACUCAGUGGCCGGGGACUGAGGAAAAUGAAGGCGGUUUCAGAAAAGAUGGCGGCACGCUGCCUUCAUCCCAUUUUAGGGAAAGGCCUAUAAAAGUCUGAAAGUUGGUGGGUUUGAUGACCUGGCUUGUUUCGUGGAGAAGUCUUCUCUUGCGCUUCCGCAAGCGACUUUGGCAGAGCCUCUUGCCCAUAGUUAAGAUGGCCGCGGCCGCUUCGGAGUCCAGGCAUGUUCCAGAAAAGCAGCAUGAAGACUUCAAAUGGAACGGGAUUCUCAAGUUACAAGGUGAUGAUUGUGUUAAAGAUUAGCUGGUAUGGUUGAAUUAUAUGUGUGGAACAUCAAUCCACCUAAGUGCUAAAGACAAGAAGGAAAAUCUCUUCUGGCAUCCAGCACUGCAGCCUGGUACAGUGAAAAAAGCACGGACUGGGAAAUCACAAGGUUUGGAUUCCAGGGCCACCUCUGCCACUAACUUGCUCUGUGACUUUACCAUCCCCUCUCUGGGAGUCAGCCCUCCUCAGGGUGUAUUCUGGGAACAGUAUUCCCAUGAGAUACUUUGUGGGAAAAACAAGCAUUCUUCCCCAUGCCCCUUGGAGAGUCCUGUUUAGUAUAAUGAAGGUUCAGGCCAUUUCUACGAUAAAGAAAUGUAUUUCAUCCACUGCUUCCCCAAACUCUGCUUAAAACAUUGAGCCAACAGCUCCAAGCUCCCUUCCAGCUCUAAAUGCUGCAGUCCAUGCUAUCAUAACCCCCAGUGCCACCCCAGGAACCCACUCCUUCAUCCUCCUCCUCAUCACUCAGGCCCAAACCUAAUCAUUCCAUCGGCCCAGCCCAGGAGCCGGCCCUUUCCAUUCAACUUCCAGAGUUUACCUGAAUCCAUCUGCUACUGUCCAUCUCUCCUCUGCUUCCACACUCCCCAGUUCCUUCUCAGAACAGUCAGAGUGGAUUUUUAAUGUAAAUCAGAUUGCCUCAACUCUGCUUAAAACCUCCCAGUAGCUUCCCAUUAUAUUUAGAGUCAAAUUCGUACUUGGCAAGUAAGAGCCUCCUUGACCUGCUCCUCUUUUCCAGCACAUUUGUAACUCCUUUCCAGUCAGUUCCUCCAAUUCAGCCACAAGUGUUCUUUCUGUAUCUCACCCCUGUCAAACCCAUCCCUGCCUCAGAGCAUUGCACUUGCUAUUCCCUUGGUCUGGGAAACCACCCCAUUCCCUGUCCCCCCUGCUCCCUCCUCUGUCCCUGCUUCCCUGCUUUCCCUGUGGUUCCUUCUCAUAACUUAGAUCUCAGCUCAGAUGUCUCCUCCUCACCAAGACCUAGCCUAAGUAUCCAUCUGCCAGGUACUCUCAGCCUUUGUAAUGCUUAUUGUUUGCAGUUACAGUACCUUGUUUUGUUUGUAUAUUGGUUUAUCGCUGGUCUCUCCCUGCCCCACUAGAAGAUCAGCUCCAAGAGAGUUGUGUGUCUGUUUUCCCUGCUAUUUCCUGGCACGUAGAAUAGUACCUAGUACAUAGGAAAUGCUUAGUAAAUUUUUGUUAAACAAAUGAAUGAAAAAGAGAGAAAGAACAAACGGUACUUUCUCUGUGCUUCAGCGCCAGUGCUGAGCAAAACAGCCUGUGUUGAUGGAGGGCGCCUGGCGCUGCACUUCCCCCUUUGGCUGUGCUCCUCCCUCCUGCUCUUCCUUCUUUUCAGAUUCACCCCUCCCAGUACUGGUGAUCCUUGGCCCUUGCCCCCUCCUAUUCCUGACUACUCUUCAGCUCCAGCUCUCCACACUUGAGGUCUCUGGGUCUUGCUCACAGAUCAUAUUGCCAGUCGCUCUCUGGGUCUUGCUCACAGAUCAUAUUGCCAGUCGCUGAGCCACACACAUUCUAUGGCAGAAGCUGCUCAUGAGUAUCUUUCUUCCCGUUUCCAAGGUCACUACCCUUGGUUUCAGCUCCUCAUGACCUCCGGUCUGUUGAAAUCCUUCUCAUCCUUCAGGGCCAGUUUGAGCAGUCUUCUCCAGGAAACCCUUCUUGAUUCAGAAGAUCUCCCCAGAUCAUUUAUUAUUAUUAUUAUUAUUAUUAUUAUUAUUAGAAUGACAACAAUAACCAAUGUUUAUUGAAUGCAGUAUCCAAGGCAGUCUUUUGUAUUAUCUCAUUUAAUCCUUCCAUCAAUCUUAUGAAACUAUUAUUAUCCAGGUUUUACAGGUGAGGAAACAGGUGCAGAGAAGUGAAGUGACUUGCCAAGAUGGCACAGCUAAAACACAAGUGAGUCAGGAUCUGCACCCAGAGGAUCUAACUCCAGAGCUCUUAACCCUACUCUACUUGUGUCUGUCUUUCAUCCUUUCUAUGAAAAAUGCUCCCCUGCUGCUCCUGCUUGUACAUCUCCCCCAACCCCAGUUUCUACUUAGGCUCUGGGAACCAUGGCUGUGUCCUCCAAGCAGUACUUUCCAGUCUAUCACCAGCCAGGCUGGGCCAGGUGAUGCCUCUGGGCUUCCUCUGUCAUGGCCCCAUCGCUCUCUCCCCACGUGGAAUGUGGGACCUGAGUCAGCUGUAUUCUGGAGGCCUCACGUGGUGUUUGAAUAAAUGAAUGAACAGAUGAAUGAAUGAAUGAAUGGGGUCAGAGCCAGGGUUUCCUCAUCAUGGAAUUCCCUCACCACCUAGCACAAUCCUUCAAACAGAAGGCACCCUAU